AAGAUAACAAUUCUGGAACGGAUGGCCAUGAUAAUGUCCAUACAGUUAAAACAAACACACCUACUACUAGAGAAGGAACAACAAGUAACCCAACACUUGCGGCGUCAAUUGGUUGUUGCUGAAAACAAAACAUGCGAAAUGAAACGCCUCCAAGAAAAACAUGAGAAAGAAUUAGCUAAGGAUAGAGGAUGUGCUCCAUUCCUACCUCCCACCUGAACCACUGAGAGCACAAUACUCCCACAGAAGCUCCUCACCAGUGGUUGCAAACGCAUUGCCUUUUUCCCCUCUAGGUCAAAACACAUCACAAAGACCUUCUAUUAGAGAUUUGGAUAAAAUAGCACGUAACAUCACACGCUUUGAUCCUAGUCCUGGUGGUUCUCAUGAUACCACCGGCUACUUAAAGGACAUCAGCUUUUACCUGCAAAGGUAUCCACAGUCUACAACCUAUGAUAAGUUAUAUCUUAUCAAAUUAACCUCGAGUCGUGAUGUUAGCAAUUUCAUUGAACGACAACCCAGCAUAAUCAGAGAUGACUAUGUGUCAGACUCGAAGCAGGCGGCGGACCCACAUGCACAGCACAGAGGCCGGAUAAUGAUUAAGCACAGGUUUAUUUUCCAAGGCAGAGUCAGACGGUCCAGGUCAUACACAAAAGGGCUUGGCAAAAGUACAGACAGGGAUAAGGCAAAAACUCACGGUCAGUUAGUUAGUUAGUCCAGGUUCUCUUACAGGUGGCGGUACAAGCGAGGAUCAGGCAGGAUACACGGUGCAAAGCAAAACAGGAACAAACACGAGGAGCACGGACACGAAACACGGGAACGAGGAAACUCAGGAAACUCGAGAUACUCAGGAAACACAUGCAACUAGGAAACUAAUGAAACUCGGAGACACAAGAAACUCGAAACUCAUGAAACUCAUGAAACUCGAAACUCAACAAUCUGGCAAGGGACUAUGGGAACAGGAGCUGACUAAAUACACAGGUGAGUGAUUAACUGAUUACAGACAGGUGUGGGUAAGGAGCUAGGGAGUGAACAACAGAACUGAUAACAGGAAGUCAACAAAAUAAAACAGGACAUGGCGUGAGGACA
RNAcentral lists this long non-coding RNA (1083 nucleotides) under Betta splendens (Siamese fighting fish). RNAcentral describes it as "lncRNA (ENSBSLG00000003687.1)". Lineage: Eukaryota; Metazoa; Chordata; Actinopteri; Anabantiformes; Osphronemidae. The record is from RNAcentral.